AUGGCAGUGGUUCUAUGCUAUGUAGAUACAUGUGGGCUAUCAAAUGAGAGGUUUGUUGGUGUUCUUCAUGUGGAGGAAACAACAUCUUCUUAUCUCAAGUCUAAAAUUGAUUUUAUAAUUGCAAAGCUUGGCUUGAAUCUACAACAAGUGAGGGGACAAGGUUAUGAUGGGGCCAGUAAUAUGGCAGUUGAGUUUAAUGGUUUGCAAGCCAAUAUUAUGAGGGAGAAUAGCUCAGCUUAUUACGUACAUUGUUUUGCUCAUAAACUUAACUUGGUUGUUGUGGCCAUUGCAAAAAAGAUAUUUGAUGUUGGAGAUUUCUUUGAUAUGAUAUCAUUAUUGGUGAAUGUCGUUGGAUCAUCUUGCAAGAGAAAGGAUAAACUUAGAGAGAACCAUCAAGAAGAAGCAAGGAAAGCGAUUGGUAAGGGAGAGAUUGCUAUAGGGUCCGGAUUAAACCAGGAGCUUUCUCUUCAAGGACCGGGAGAUACAAGAUGGAAUUCUCACUAUACCACUUUGUCGAGUCUGUCGAAGAUGUUUACCUCGGUGGUAAAAGUUCUAGAGUAUGUGGAGGAAGAGGGCUCAGAUGCUACUAAGCAACGUCAAACUAGUGGUCUUCUAAAAUAUUUUCGGUCAUUUGAUUCUGCAUUCUUUCUACACAUGAUGAUGAUUAUAUUAGCUUUAACAAAUGGGCUGUCAAAAACAUUUCAAAGAAGGGAUAUGGACAUUGUAAAUGCUAUAUCAGAUGUGGAAUCUGUUAAGUGA
RNAcentral lists this ribosomal RNA (759 nucleotides) under Triticum aestivum (bread wheat). Its description in RNAcentral is "partial small subunit ribosomal RNA". Lineage: Eukaryota; Viridiplantae; Streptophyta; Magnoliopsida; Poales; Poaceae. The record is from RNAcentral.